UAAAAAAAAAAGGAAAAGAAAAGUAGUGUAUUCUCUCUUGGCAUCUACCUAUAAUGAAAGAAAAAAAUUACUUGUUGGCUAGUUUGUACACAAAGUUUCCUUCCUUCUCUUUGGAUGGAUCUCUUAGAGUAAUCACUUCGGUUUAGUUUCUAUCCCAUGUGGAAGUGUCUUCCGUAAUUUAUAUUUUCUUCAGAAGACCCCUCGGCUGCUCAGAUCCAAAAUUAAGUUCUUGACAACCUUGUUUGGAGUGACAAGAAUUGGCUCAAUGAUUCUUACCGGCAUGUAUUGCUUUCCUUUAUAGACUAUUACAAAGAAAAUUAAGGAAAGAAGUUUGCUAUACAAAAUUAACGUCCCUAAUUUUAUCGCAGCUACCAAUUCUAUAAAAGUUAUACACAGAAACCCCUAAUUAGCUAUAAAUGAUGUAAUACCCCCCUUAAUUUGAUGUUGGUGAGUCCACAAGCAUCAAUUUACCUACAAGAAAAUCAUGAUAGAGGCUAGGCAAGGAUUUGGUGAAGAUAUCAAUGAUUUGUUGAGUAGUGGAAAUGUCGGGAAGAGUUAUGACCCUAGAAUCAUAGGCAUCUGGGAUGUCGCAUUUUGAAUAGCGCUAGUGUUGCCACCAUGGAGAGGUGUAGGCUGUGAUUGGGGAACUCCAAGUUCUACUAGAAGGCUUUGCAACCACACAAUCUCUGCAUUCAGUCUCAGUGGAGGACUUAGAAACACAAUCCUAUUUCAUACAUUACUAAGAAAUAAGAACAUUACCUAGAAAGAUACACCACCCAGUUGUAGAUCGACGAAAAUCAAGACAGUCAGCCCAAUCAGCAUCACUAUAGACAGUGAACUCAAGGGACGUCCCCUUAGGAAAGAAUAGACCACGAUGAGAGUCCCAAUAAGAUAUCUAAUAAUGUGGCGGACAGCCACCAAAUGAAGAUGACAAGGAGCAUCCAUAAAUUUGUUACGGUAUGUACUGCGAAGGAAAUAUCUGGACGCGUGAUGGUGAGAUAGAUCGGAAUCUCCUCCAACCUCCAAUUUAGAGUAAGUUUUGGAAGAAUAUCGACUUUAUCUUUUAGGUAUUUGACAUUAACUUCCAACGGAGUAUCAACUGAGAAGGCUUCAGAUGAAUUAGCCAACCUAAUCAAGUCUUUAAUAUACUCAUAUUGAUUCAAGAAGAUGCCAUGUGGUGCUGAAUUAACCUCCAAAUCAAGAAUAUAAGUGAGACGACCAAAGUUUUUCAUAAGAAAAACAAAGUAAAGACGUUGGAGCUUCUGAAUAAGUAUGUCAUCAGAGCCAGAGAUAAUAAUAUCAUCCACAAACAUCAACAAGAGAACAAUGCUAGUAGUACUCUUGUGAAGGAACACAGAUGCGUUCUACUGACUGUGGGUAAAGGAAAAAUCCAAGAGAGUGCAGCGGAGCUUGUCAAACCAUGCUCGAGGGACUUGCUUGAAACCAUAAAAAAAUCGUUUUAGUUUACAUAUAGAGUCGAGGGAAUACGCAUACCUGAUGGAAGUUUAAUACGAACGUCUUCUUUGAGGUCUCCAUGUAAGAAUGCAUUCUUUACAUUUAUUUGAUGCAAAGACCAAGACCUAGAGGUGGCAAGUGAUAACAAGAGAUGAAUGGUGGUCAUUUUAGCCAACGAAGCAAAUGUCUCAUCAAAGUAUGGAUUUCAUAUGGUUAGAAGAAAAAGUGGCGUGUCUUCUCUCUUGGGCAUCUAACUAUAAGAAAAGAACAAAAAAUUACUUGUUUGUCUAUUUCCAAAAGGAAGUUUCCUCCCACUUCUUAGGGUCAGUCUCUUCUGACAGUGAGACUUUUAUCUUUAGAGUAAUUGAUUUGCCUAAGUUUCUAUCAUAAGUGAAAUUGCCUGCUUGUUAAUUAUGUUUUCUUCCCAUUGUUAAGAGACUCUCCUUCUUGAACUGAGAAUGUAGCUGAUAGCAUCAUUAUAAUUUUCCUCUUCGACAUGUUCACUCUUUUUCCUUUUCAAGAUGACGUGCAUCCGUCUGCUUGGUAUCGCUCCUCUUUUCUUUGAAAGGCUUUCUAGAAAUUGUGGCAUGAUAUUGGAAAAUGUAGAUACCAUUAAGUUGUUUUAUGAUUUGACAGAUUGGGGAAAGUCAUCAACUUGGCUCUUUUGCUUGGUCUAAAAACAUUCUGCAGUAAUAAAACUGCUUCAACAAUCGGUGACCAUUAACUUUUUUUCCGCCAAUUUUCAUAUACAUUAUAAAAUGUUAUUGGUGACUAAUUAUUUUGAUUGCUUACUUGGACUGCAGAAAACUUCUUAAAGAUGAAGUGAAUAAGCAAAUAGCAAUCCUUUCUGGUUUAUUAUGGGAGAAAAGUUCUGGCAUUCGGGAUGACCAGUAUAAAGUCAAAAUCUUCACCUUUUGAUGAGUCGUUGCAGACGAGAAAGCUUUUAACAGAAGAUUCUGUUUUUUUUCUUGAUGGAACAAAAAUGCACAUUGUAGACUUCGAAGCAUUGAUCAAUAUGGAGAAAGGUGACCUUGAGGAGGAUCCAUGGGAAUUCUCUUUUAAAAAAUGCACAUUGUAUAGUCUUCAGUGGUUUCUAGAAAUUUUAAGGACUGAAAUGAAUUUUUUUGUGAAAAAUUAAGACCCAUAAUUUAUGGUCUUGAAAAUAUUGUAAUGAUGACUCGUAAUGAGAAAUUGGGUUUAGGUUUAAGACUGGAGGUUGGAGCCUAAAUGCAGUAAGUGUAAAGUUAAGAAGCUAAAUUGUAGAUAUUGAGAAAUAUAUUAUUAGAUGAGAA
RNAcentral lists this long non-coding RNA (2747 nucleotides) under Olea europaea subsp. europaea. Lineage: Eukaryota; Viridiplantae; Streptophyta; Magnoliopsida; Lamiales; Oleaceae. The record is from RNAcentral.